GGUGUUGUGCUAAAGAAAGCAAGGAAGAUCGCAAACGGAAAGGACAAUGCCAAUCUAGUGCUGGGAGCUUUCGUGGACACUCUUGUUGUUCUCCCAGAUGAUCUUGUGCAAGUGAUUGCAAAGGACUUAUCCCUUGCUACUAAAGAUAUUUCUAAAACUACUGCUUGUGAUGUGGUGGCAGCCAGUGGAUUGAUGCAGCCUCAAACUUCACAUUUGGUAGACCCAAAAGCAUCCAGACAGGUUGAGAAGUGCAGCAGGCUGUGUCAGAAUAGUGAUACCUCCACUGGGAAAGUUGCUCCAAUGAACAGUAAUGCUGCAAAUGUUGGCUCUCCAAUUGAACAUAUAGUGCCAAAUUGGAAUGCAAUUCCAGUUUCUGCUGGUAUUGUAUCAAAAGAUGGAAAUGUUGCUAAUUCAGUUUUAGCUACUCCUGUGGUAGCUUCAAAUGUUAAAACAUCUCAACCAGUCAACAAUUCAUCUAUUAAAGCUGUCAUGUCAAGCAAAACCACUGCUAAGGAAUCCAAACUCAAUCCCCAUGCUAAGGUCUUCGCUCCAUCUUUUUCAAGUUCCAGACCAGUACUUGCAGCUGCACCCCCUGUUAACCCAAACUAUAUCUCAAACUCGGUUCCUGGAGUUCCAACUGGCGUACCUGUAUUUCAAACUCACUCGCAUCCAGGCAGUUCGUCUUUAUCUAGCAAGGUUGUUCAUUAUAAUAACCUGGCUCCUGGAAACUUUGGAAUUUCAUCUCAAUAUGUCCAAUCAGUUGUGGGGCAUAAUGUGGGAAGGCUAGAUCCUGCAAGACUCGGUACACCAUAUCACCCCUUGCAAGUGGGAUCAACCUAUAUCAGCCCUAGUCCUCAGCCUAUGGUCGAUGGGAAGUUCAGUCCUGUUGUUUAUGUUCAUCCAGUUUCUCAGGAUGCUAUGCGUGGAACACCAGUUAUGUCCCAAGUAUGGCCUCGCCCUUUGCUGUUGAACUCGCAUCAAGCUAGCUUGCAAAAGUUUCAAGGCACUGCCCCGUUCUUUGGGGCUCCGCCGGUCAUGGCAACCGGGAACCUGCCCAUGGUGAUGCCGAGCCCUGCAACGCUUGUGCAGCCAUUCCAGGCCAUUCAUCCAAUCAUGGUUCCUUCGGCGACCAGUAUGUAUCCAGGCAAAUACAUGUAA
RNAcentral lists this ribosomal RNA (1158 nucleotides) under Triticum aestivum (bread wheat). RNAcentral's name for it is "partial small subunit ribosomal RNA". The record is from RNAcentral. Lineage: Eukaryota; Viridiplantae; Streptophyta; Magnoliopsida; Poales; Poaceae.